GGCUGAUUUAUCAAGUGAAGAUGAUGUGCUCCAGUGGCUCGCAGCACAGGUCGAUGCAAGCAGAGAUUUUAAGAUAUGCAUCACCAGAGGUGACCUUGUUCAGAGAGGCUUCCUUCAGUGGCAAAGACAGAAGAAGGGCUCCCCAGCUAACAAACUCAUGAGACUUUCAUUGGAGAGGCUGAAAUUGAUACUGGUGCUUUAAGCAAAGAGUUUUUGACUGAAAUGAUGCAUGGUAUUGAGAGGUGACUGUUUGAGGGCUGUGGCAAAAAGGAAAAAUGUCCAGUCGACUCCAUUAGUGACCUGGAAAAUGGUUUCUACGGAACUGCAGGGGAAGUGUUUUCAGUCAGCCUUGCACAAGGAGGUCCACCACCCUGCUUCCUGAGAAAAUGGUGUUAUCGGUUUCUUGCAACUGGGAGCUUUGAUGAUCUGGAGCUAACAAAGGAAGACGUUCAGGAAUAUACUCUAUGAAUAGA
Melanotaenia boesemani (Boeseman's rainbowfish) is the source of this 473-nucleotide long non-coding RNA. RefSeq lists it as uncharacterized. The transcript is spliced from 4 exons. Lineage: Eukaryota; Metazoa; Chordata; Actinopteri; Atheriniformes; Melanotaeniidae. The record is from RefSeq and is a predicted model, not a curated record.